RNAcentral lists this small RNA (125 nucleotides) under Marmota monax (woodchuck). Lineage: Eukaryota; Metazoa; Chordata; Mammalia; Rodentia; Sciuridae. The record is from RNAcentral.
GCUGGGUGCAGCGGCUCACGCCUGUAAUCCCAGCAGCUCUGGAGGCUGAGACAGGAGGAUCGUGAGUCCAAAGCCAGCCUCAGCAACAGCGAGGUGCUAAGCAACUCAGUGAGACCCUGGCUCUG